AAAAAAACAAAAAAAAAAAAUCUAAGUGAAGUAGAAUUUCUGGAGAAUCUUCCCUCUCUUUCGACAUAGAAUCUUUGUACUUGGCGGACAACAAUUUUAUAGCCCACCAUUGAUGGAGAAAAAACAUUUUUUCUUCGCUAGCGAUGGUUAGUGAUAGCUCAAAAUUGUAAGCAAAUGCAAGAACUUCAAAUUGGGCUUCCUCUAAGCGAUUCUAAGC
RNAcentral lists this long non-coding RNA (217 nucleotides) under Eucalyptus grandis. RNAcentral's name for it is "long non-coding RNA (EGRA_LNC004773)". Lineage: Eukaryota; Viridiplantae; Streptophyta; Magnoliopsida; Myrtales; Myrtaceae. The record is from RNAcentral.